CUGCUCAGGAAAAGGUCAAGAGUGGCACCUGGUCUCAGAGAGGUGUCCGUCAAAGGCUGUCAUAACAGCCCUAUGGACAAGAAGGAGACCUGGGCCAGGUGAGAGUGCUGCAAAACCAUUUGUCCCAAGGAGUUGUGGAUGGGACUUAGGGAAAGGAGGGGCUCCAGAGGCACUGUGACAGUGUCAGAGUGACUACAGGCUCCUCAGGAGAUGUUGAGGGAAAAGAAAGGGCUGGGACGUGCCCUAAGACUUCCUGUGCGCAGGCACUGGUCCCCUCUGCUGAUUCAGGGCUCCCCUAAAACAGCCACCCUCAUCACGAGUAUGGUACCAGGCAGUGGCAAAACCUGUUACAACAUCAGCAGGGCCGGGCGCGGUGGCUCCUGCCUGUAAUCCCAGCACUUUGGGAGGGCAUUGCAGGAGGAUCACUUGAGGCCAGGAGUUCGAAACCCCUUCUCUACAAAAAAUACAAAAAUCAGCCAGCUUUGUGGUGCAUGCCUGUAGUCCCAGCUACUUGGGAGGCUGAGGUGGGAGGAUUGUUUGAGCCUGGGAGGUCGAGGCUGCAGUGAGCUAUGAUUGCACCACUGCACCAAAGCAAGACCCCAUUUCAAAAAACAACAAACAAACAAAAAACACACCAGCAGGUUCUGAUUGUGCAGCCUCAGAAAGCCCCCGGCUUUCCUGUUCAGCAAGCAGGCGCCCUGCAGAGUGAAGGUGCUUUCCCAGAGCCACCCUCAAGUGCUGCUGGAGGCCCAGAUUCCUUCAAAUGACCUGGGCAGCCCUGCCGGAAUGCAGUGUGACAACAGAAACAAGUUGGCUGCUUGGGGAAACCAUGCGGGUGUCCCCAGGCUCUGAUUUGGUAACCGCAGAUACUCUUUGAUAAAUCGUAGAACCAUUAGGCACUGGUUUGGGCAGUAUGUGUGUGGAUGGGGAAUCUGUUUAUGAGAAUAUAAAAUAAAACGUGCAAACACAGGAGAAGUAGAAGAUACAGGUGGCAGGGUGGAGUGAGAACUGAAGUCAGGACUGGGGAGCUGGAGGAGGAAAUCAGGCCUGAAGAAACUUUGUGGCCAAAGCCAGCAAAUCUUGUAUAUGUAGGAUCUCCAUGAACUGUCCUAAAAUUUCCAAGAGAAGCAGACAUCUAUCAAGUAGAAGACAAAAAGGGAUGCUGACCAGGGAGGCCGGAUGCUGGAUGUGGUCUAGGAGGAAGCCUUGGAAUUUUCUCACUCUGGAUUGUGGAACCACAAAGUCAGUCUGGAGCUGCCUACAUCUGGACACCUAGGCUCCUGUCACAGCCAGUUUAUUAUUUCCAGUCACUCAUUACUGGGAUUCUCCUCUCCCUGGGGCGUUAUGAAGCUAAGAUGGCAGCAGAAUGCUAUGUCACUGUAUACAGAAACAAGACAACCUGAAGCUGAAUGGAUGCCCACUGCAUAGUCAACAGGUCCAGCCUCACAGUACAUGCCCUGAGCUACAGCCCCUCCAAAAGGCAUCUUCCCCACAGCCUCAGUGCCGAGCAAGGAGCAUCAAGAGUUUGUCUUGGCUGUUUUGUUCUUUUUACAAACUAUAGAGAUAUACAGUUGAUAACUCAGGAUUUCUAGCCAAUAACCAUAUAGUUAACACCACCUUACAAAUAAAAAGAAAAUGCCAGAAACAUCUUUAAAUGCCUUGUCACACCAACAGCAAAGUGCACAGAGAGAGGAGAACAUGAGAGUGCCUUUUCAUUUUAAAAAUGUUUGGAAAUAUGUACAACUUUGAUGCAGUUUCAGGGUGCUCCAGACACCCAUGGCCACUUCACGUAAACCACUGGCAAUUUCUAGAGCACUUUGAGAGACUACAGAAUCAUGAUCAAAUUU
Symphalangus syndactylus (siamang) is the source of this 1847-nucleotide long non-coding RNA. RefSeq lists it as uncharacterized. NCBI's taxonomy places the organism in Eukaryota, Metazoa, Chordata, Mammalia, Primates, Hylobatidae. The record is from RefSeq and is a predicted model, not a curated record.